UCUCUUAACGGUUUGGUUUCUGCCUGAUUCGAUUUUUUAACAGAUGGGCUCUGGAUCAAGUUAGAGUUGUUUUCAAGAAGUAUUCCAUGAAUUCGGCGGCAAGACUAAACAAGAGUGUAAAUUGCCAGAAGAUUGACAGCCCAAAGACCUCUGAUGUCCCUCCUCGCUUCUGAUCACCUGAGCCUGCUUUUUCCUGCUUCCAUGCCUUAU
Polypterus senegalus (gray bichir) is the source of this 210-nucleotide long non-coding RNA. RefSeq lists it as uncharacterized. The transcript is spliced from 3 exons. NCBI's taxonomy places the organism in Eukaryota, Metazoa, Chordata, Cladistia, Polypteriformes, Polypteridae. The record is from RefSeq and is a predicted model, not a curated record.